AUUGAACGCUGGCGGCAGGCCUAACACAUGCAAGUCGAGCGAGGGGGGGACGGGAGAGAAAUGUAUGGGGACGGCUCGAGAGAGGGGGAUAAUUAGUGGAAACGGUGGCUAAAACCGAAAAGUAUCGGAUAACCCAUAUGGGAUUAGCUAGUAGGUGGGGUAAAGGCUCACCUAGGCGACGAGCUCUGGCUGGUCUGAGAGGAUGAUCAGCCACACUUGGACUGAGACACGGCCCAGACUCCUACGGAGGCAGCAGUGGGGAAUAUUUCACAAUGGGCGCAAGCCUGAUGCAGCCAUGCCGCGUGUAUGAAGAAUGCCUUAGGGUUGUAAAGUACUUUCAUCGGUGAGGCGUUACCCGCAGAAGAAGCCCCGGCUAACUCCGUGCCAGCAGCCGCGGUAAUUC
Molecule: ribosomal RNA, 403 nt
Filed under: uncultured bacterium
Lineage: Bacteria
Description: partial 16S ribosomal RNA
Rfam family: Bacterial small subunit ribosomal RNA
Source: RNAcentral